AGCGAACGCUGGCGGCAGGCCUAACACAUGCAAGUCGAACGAUCCUUUCGGGGUUAGUGGUGGACGGGGGAGUAAGACGUGGGAACGUGCCUUUAGGUUCGGAGUAACUCAGGGAAACUUGUCCUAAUACCAAAUGUGCCCUUCGGGGGUAAGAGUAAUCGCCUUUAGAGCGGCCCGCGACUGAUUGGCUAGUUGGUCGAGGUAAUGGUUCACCAAGGGGAAGACCAGUAGCUGGGCUGAGAGGAUGGUCAGCAACACUGGGAGUGGGAAACGGCCCAAAAUCCUAGGGGAGGCAGGAGUGGGGAAUCUUGCGCAAUGGGCGAAAGCCUGACGCAGCCAGGCCGGGAGAAUGAUUAAGGUCUGAGGAUUGUAAAAUUCUUUCACCGGGGACGAUAAUGACGGUACCCUAAGAAGAAGCCCCGGCUAACUUCGUG
RNAcentral lists this ribosomal RNA (434 nucleotides) under uncultured bacterium. RNAcentral's name for it is "partial 16S ribosomal RNA". It matches the Rfam family "Bacterial small subunit ribosomal RNA", at positions 29 to 507 of the family's 1533-position model. The record is from RNAcentral.